Long non-coding RNA from Engraulis encrasicolus (European anchovy), 162 nucleotides. RefSeq lists it as uncharacterized. The record is from RefSeq and is a predicted model, not a curated record. The transcript has 3 exons. Lineage: Eukaryota; Metazoa; Chordata; Actinopteri; Clupeiformes; Engraulidae.
AGGUUGUGCCAGAACAGAUUACUGCACAACCAGUUCAGCCACAGCCAGUAGGCCCUCAACAGAGCUCCUCACAGUCUGUAAGCUCAGAUCAGACCCUCUCAGUGGAAUCCCAAUCACAGAGUUCUCAAGAAGUUACUUCUGAUGAGUCGCCUGAAGACAAUG